This 104-nucleotide small nuclear RNA is filed under the name Octodon degus (degu). The record is from RNAcentral. Lineage: Eukaryota; Metazoa; Chordata; Mammalia; Rodentia; Octodontidae.
GUGCUCACUUCGGCAGCACAUAUACUAAAAUUAGAACGAUACAAAGAUUAGCAUGGCCCCUGCACAAGGAUGACACACAAAUUCAUGAAGCAUUCUGUAUUUUU